CAUGCAAGUCGAACGGUAACAGGGGCUUCGGCCCGCUGACGAGUGGCGGACGGGUGAGUAACGCGUAGGAAUCUACCUAGUAGUGGGGGAUAGCCCGGGGAAACCCGGAUUAAUACCGCAUACGCCCUACGGGGGAAAGCAGGGGAUCCUUUGGACCUGCGCUAUUGGAUGAGCCUACGUCUGAUUAGCUUGUUGGUAGGGUAAUGGCCUACCAAGGCGACGAUCAGUAGCUGGUCUGAGAGGACGAUCAGUCACACUGGGACUGAGACACGGCCCAGACUCCUACGGGAGGCAGCAGUGGGGAAUAUUGGACAAUGGGCGAAAGCCUGAUCCAGCAAUGCCGCGUGUGUGAAGAAGGCCUGCGGGUUGUAAAGCACUUUCAGCAGGGAAGAAGAGCUUUGAGGUUAAUAUCCCCAAGGCUUGACGUUACCUGCAGAAGAAGCACCGGCUAACUCCGUGCCAGCAGCCGCGGUAAUACGGAGGGUGCCAGCGUUAAUCGGAAUUACUGGGCGUAAAGCGCACGUAGGCGGUUUGGCAAGUCGGAUGUGAAAGCCCCGGGCUUAACCUGGGAAUUGCAUUCGAGACUGCUUGGCUAGAGUUUGGUAGAGGGAAGCGGAAUUCCGGGUGUAGCGGUGAAAUGCGUAGAUAUCCGGAGGAACACCAGUGGCGANGCGGCUUUCUGGACCAAAACUGAC
RNAcentral lists this ribosomal RNA (695 nucleotides) under uncultured bacterium. RNAcentral's name for it is "bacterial SSU rRNA". It matches the Rfam family "Bacterial small subunit ribosomal RNA", at positions 54 to 744 of the family's 1533-position model. The record is from RNAcentral.